RNAcentral lists this ribosomal RNA (449 nucleotides) under uncultured bacterium. RNAcentral describes it as "partial 16S ribosomal RNA". It matches the Rfam family "Bacterial small subunit ribosomal RNA", at positions 29 to 523 of the family's 1533-position model. The record is from RNAcentral.
AACGAACGCUGGCGGCAUGCCUAAUACAUGCAAGUCGAACGAGAUCUUCGGAUCUAGUGGCGCACGGGUGCGUAACGCGUGGGAAUCUGCCCUUGGGUUCGGAAUAACGUCGGGAAACUGACGCUAAUACCGGAUGAUGACGUAAGUCCAAAGAUUUAUCGCCCAAGGAUGAGCCCGCGUAGGAUUAGCUAGUUGGUGAGGUAAAGGCUCACCAAGGCGACGAUCCUUAGCUGGUCUGAGAGGAUAAUCAGCCACACUGGGACUGAGACACGGCCCAGACUCCUACGGGAGGCAGCAGUAGGGAAUAUUGGACAAUGGGCGCAAGCCUGAUCCAGCAAUGCCGCGUGAGUGAUGAGGGCCUUAGGGUUGUAAAGCUCUUUUACCCGGGAUGAUAAUGACAGUACCGGGAGAAUAAGCCCCGGCUAACUCCGUGCCAGCCGCCGCCGUAA